GAGCCGGAGCAGCAGCCGGCUGCGGCACCCCACCCUUCUUCUCCACCGCCGCAUUCCUGAACAGCACAUCCAGCGUCGCCGCGGACAGCUUGAGCUUGCUCAGCGAGUUGACGGAGCUGUCCAGCGACUCGUCGUACUCACCACCGGCGACAGAGCCUGCCGUGGAGCGCUUCCGGCGGAGCAGCCUCGACAGCCUCCGCGCCAGGCCACCACCGGCCUUCUGCUGCGGCACGUCGGCCGCCAUUAACGUCUCCAUUGGUGGCACCAGCACCACCUAGCUGAGCUAGCUCUUGCUCUCACUGAGCUCAGCUU
This 312-nucleotide long non-coding RNA is filed under the name Oryza brachyantha (malo sina). RNAcentral's name for it is "long non-coding RNA (OBRA_LNC001349)". Lineage: Eukaryota; Viridiplantae; Streptophyta; Magnoliopsida; Poales; Poaceae. The record is from RNAcentral.